Molecule: ribosomal RNA, 552 nt
Filed under: uncultured Cladosporium
Lineage: Eukaryota; Fungi; Ascomycota; Dothideomycetes; Cladosporiales; Cladosporiaceae
Description: eukaryotic LSU rRNA
Rfam family: 5.8S ribosomal RNA (bases 188-341)
Source: RNAcentral
UUCCGUAGGUGAACCUGCGGAGGGAUCAUUACAAGUGACCCCGGUCUUACCACCGGGAUGUUCAUAACCCUUUGUUGUCCGACUCUGUUGCCUCCGGGGCGACCCUGCCUUCGGGCGGGGGCUCCGGGUGGACACUUCAAACUCUUGCGUAACUUUGCAGUCUGAGUAAACUUAAUUAAUAAAUUAAAACUUUUAACAACGGAUCUCUUGGUUCUGGCAUCGAUGAAGAACGCAGCGAAAUGCGAUAAGUAAUGUGAAUUGCAGAAUUCAGUGAAUCAUCGAAUCUUUGAACGCACAUUGCACCCCCUGGUAUUCCGGGGGGCAUGCCUGUUCGAGCGUCAUUUCACCACUCAAGCCUCGCUUGGUAUUGGGCAACGCGGUCCGCCGCGUGCCUCAAAUCGACCGGCUGGGUCUUCUGUCCCCUAAGCGUUGUGGAAACUAUUCGCUAAAGGGUGUUCGGGAGGCUACGCCGUAAAACAACCCCAUUUCUAAGGUUGACCUCGGAUCAGGUAGGGAUACCCGCUGAACUUAAGCAUAUCAAUAAGCGGAGGA